RNAcentral lists this unclassified non-coding RNA (283 nucleotides) under plant metagenome. RNAcentral's name for it is "partial contains small subunit ribosomal RNA, internal transcribed spacer 1, and 5.8S ribosomal RNA". The record is from RNAcentral.
GAACCGUAGGUGAACCUGCGGUUGGAUCAUUAUUGAAUAGUAUGUGUGUGCGUGUACUUUAUUGUACAUGCAUAAUUACACACACAACCCCCCCUCGAGCACUGUUUGUACUGUACCAAAACACAGCAGUGAGUGUGAUGCAAUCAUUGUAUUGCAUUGCAUUCGCUGCGGACCACACCAUGCAUAUUAAAUUAUUACAUGUGUCUCCAAGAACGUAUUCCUAUGUGAAUGCUGUUGUAUAAUAAAUAAAAAACAACUUUUGACAAUGGAUCUCUUGGCUCUU